CGGCGAUGUCCGAAUGGGGAAACCCAGUGCAAUUCGUUGCACUAUCGUUAACUGAAUACAUAGGUUAACGAGGCGAACCGGGGGAACUGAAACAUCUAAGUACCCCGAGGAAAAGAAAUCAACCGAGAUUCCCCCAGUAGCGGCGAGCGAACGGGGAGCAGCCCAGAGUCUGAAUCAGCUUGUGUGUUAGUGGAACGGUCUGGAAAGUCCGACGGUACAGGGUGAUAGUCCCGUACACCAAAAUGCACAGGUUGUGAACUCGAAGAGUAGGGCGGGACACGUGGUAUCCUGUCUGAAUAUGGGGGGACCAUCCUCCAAGGCUAAAUACUCCUGACUGACCGAUAGUGAACCAGUACCGUGAGGGAAAGGCGAAAAGAACCCCGGCGAGGGGAGUGAAAAAGAACCUGAAACCGUGUACGUACAAGCAGUGGGAGCACCUUCGGGUGUGACUGCGUACCUUUUGUAUAAUGGGUCAGCGACUUAUAUUCUGUAGCAAGGUUAACCGUAUAGGGGAGCCGCAGGGAAACCGAGUCUUAACUGGGCGUUAAGUUGCAGGGUAUAGACCCGAAACCCGGUGAUCUAGCCAUGGGCAGGUUGAAGGUUGGGUAACACUAACUGGAGGACCGAACCGACUAAUGUUGAAAAAUUAGCGGAUGACUUGUGGCUGGGGGUGAAAGGCCAAUCAAACCGGGAGAUAGCUGGUUCUCCCCGAAAGCUAUUUAGGUAGCGCCUCGUGAACUCAUCUUCGGGGGUAGAGCACUGUUUCGGCUAGGGGGUCAUCCCGACUUACCAACCCGAUGCAAACUACGAAUACCGAAGAAUGUUAUCACGGGAGACACACGGCGGGUGCUAACGUCCGUCGUGAAGAGGGAAACAACCCAGACCGCCAGCUAAGGUCCCAAAGUCAUGGUUAAGUGGGAAACGAUGUGGGAAGGCACAGACAGCCAGGAUGUUGGCUUAGAAGCAGCCAUCAUUUAAAGAAAGCGUAAUAGCUCACUGGUCGAGUCGGCCUGCGCGGAAGAUGUAACGGGGCUAAACCAUGCACCGAAGCUGCGGCAGCGACACUAUGUGUUGUUGGGUAGGGGAGCGUUCUGUAAGCCUGCGAAGGUGUGCUGUGAGGCAUGCUGGAGGUAUCAGAAGUGCGAAUGCUGACAUAAGUAACGAUAAAGCGGGUGAAAAGCCCGCUCGCCGGAAGACCAAGGGUUCCUGUCCAACGUUAAUCGGGGCAGGGUGAGUCGACCCCUAAGGCGAGGCCGAAAGGCGUAGUCGAUGGGAAACAGGUUAAUAUUCCUGUACUUGGUGUUACUGCGAAGGGGGGACGGAGAAGGCUAUGUUAGCCGGGCGACGGUUGUCCCGGUUUAAGCAUGUAGGCUGAUUAUCCAGGCAAAUCCGGAUAAUCAAGGCUGAGGUGUGAUGACGAGGCACUACGGUGCUGAAGUAACAAAUGCCCUGCUUCCAGGAAAAGCCUCUAAGCAUCAGGUAACAUUAAAUCGUACCCCAAACCGACACAGGUGGUCAGGUAGAGAAUACCAAGGCGCUUGAGAGAACUCGGGUGAAGGAACUAGGCAAAAUGGUGCCGUAACUUCGGGAGAAGGCACGCUGGUGUGUAGGUGAAGUCCCUGCGGAUGGAGCUGAGACCAGUCGAAGAUACCAGCUGGCUGCAACUGUUUAUUAAAAACACAGCACUGUGCAAACACGAAAGUGGACGUAUACGGUGUGACGCCUGCCCGGUGCCGGAAGGUUAAUUGAUGGGGUUAUCCGUAAGGAGAAGCUCUUGAUCGAAGCCCCGGUAAACGGCGGCCGUAACUAUAACGGUCCUAAGGUAGCGAAAUUCCUUGUCGGGUAAGUUCCGACCUGCACGAAUGGCGUAAUGAUGGCCAGGCUGUCUCCACCCGAGACUCAGUGAAAUUGAACUCGCUGUGAAGAUGCAGUGUACCCGCGGCAAGACGGAAAGACCCCGUGAACCUUUACUAUAGCUUGACACUGAACAUUGAGCCUUGAUGUGUAGGAUAGGUGGGAGGCUUUGAAGCGUGGACGCCAGUCUGCGUGGAGCCAACCUUGAAAUACCACCCUUUAAUGUUUGAUGUUCUAACGUUGGCCCCUGACCGGGGUUGCGGACAGUGUCUGGUGGGUAGUUUGACUGGGGCGGUCUCCUCCCAAAGCGUAACGGAGGAGCACGAAGGUUAGCUAAUCCUGGUCGGACAUCAGGAGGUUAGUGCAAUGGCAUAAGCUAGCUUGACUGCGAGCGUGACGGCGCGAGCAGGUGCGAAAGCAGGUCAUAGUGAUCCGGUGGUUCUGAAUGGAAGGGCCAUCGCUCAACGGAUAAAAGGUACUCCGGGGAUAACAGGCUGAUACCGCCCAAGAGUUCAUAUCGACGGCGGUGUUUGGCACCUCGAUGUCGGCUCAUCACAUCCUGGGGCUGAAGUAGGUCCCAAGGGUAUGGCUGUUCGCCAUUUAAAGUGGUACGCGAGCUGGGUUUAGAACGUCGUGAGACAGUUCGGUCCCUAUCUGCCGUGGGCGCUGGAGAAUUGAGGGGGGCUGCUCCUAGUACGAGAGGACCGGAGUGGACGCAUCACUGGUGUUCGGGUUGUCAUGCCAAUGGCACUGCCCGGUAGCUAAAUGCGGAAGAGAUAAGUGCUGAAAGCAUCUAAGCACGAAACUUGCCCCGAGAUGAGUUCUCCCUGAGACUUUAAGUCUCCUGAAGGAACGUUAAAGACGAUGACGUUGAUAGGCCGGGUGUGUAAGCGCAGCGAUGCGUUGAGCUAACCGGUACUAAUGAACCGUGAGGCUUAACCUU
Molecule: ribosomal RNA, 2797 nt
Filed under: Klebsiella pneumoniae
Lineage: Bacteria; Pseudomonadati; Pseudomonadota; Gammaproteobacteria; Enterobacterales; Enterobacteriaceae
Description: bacterial LSU rRNA
Rfam family: Bacterial large subunit ribosomal RNA
Source: RNAcentral